CCUACGGGCGGCUGCAGUGGGGAAUCUUGCACAAUGGGGGAAACCCUGAUGCAGCGACGCCGCGUGAGUGAUGAAGCCCUUCGGGGUGUAAAGCUCUUUCGACAGGAACGAUAAUGACGGUACCUGGAGAAGAAGCUGCGGCUAACUACGUGCCAGCAGCCGCGGUAAUACGUAGGCAGCAAACGUUGUUCGGAAUUACUGGGCGUAAAGAGUGUGUAGGCGGUUUUGUAAGUUUGGUGUGAAAUCUCCCGGCUUAACUGGGAGGGUGCGCCGAAAACUGCAAGGCUAGAGUAUUGGAGAGGAUAGCGGAAUUCCUGGUGUAGCGGUGAAAUGCGUAGAUAUCAGGAGGAACACCGGUGGUGUAGACGGCUAUCUGGACAAUUACUGACGCUGAGACACGAAAGCGUGGGGAGCAAACAGGAUUAGAUACCCCUGUAGUC
This 440-nucleotide ribosomal RNA is filed under the name uncultured Acidobacteriota bacterium. Its description in RNAcentral is "bacterial SSU rRNA". It matches the Rfam family "Bacterial small subunit ribosomal RNA", at positions 338 to 795 of the family's 1533-position model. Lineage: Bacteria; Pseudomonadati; Acidobacteriota. The record is from RNAcentral.